AGUCCUGUGGCGCAGUGGUAGCGCGCCGUUCUUAUAAGAUUCGUCAGACUCUUAUGGCCAUACAUCCAUCGUGGUUAUGCGGAUGCCGUGGGUUCGACCCCCACCAGGACUA
RNAcentral lists this transfer RNA (112 nucleotides) under Westerdykella ornata. It matches the Rfam family "tRNA". From Rfam's summary of the family: Transfer RNA (tRNA) molecules are approximately 80 nucleotides in length. The record is from Rfam by way of RNAcentral. Lineage: Eukaryota; Fungi; Ascomycota; Dothideomycetes; Pleosporales; Sporormiaceae.